RNAcentral lists this ribosomal RNA (827 nucleotides) under uncultured marine bacterium. Its description in RNAcentral is "bacterial SSU rRNA". It matches the Rfam family "Bacterial small subunit ribosomal RNA", at positions 94 to 957 of the family's 1533-position model. The record is from RNAcentral.
AGCGGCGGACGGGUUAGUAACGCGUGGGAAUAUACCCGGUACUAAGGAAUAGCCUUUGGAAACGAAGAGUAAUACCUUAUACGCCCUUCGGGGGAAAGAUUUAUCGGUAUCGGAUUAGCCCGCGUAAGAUUAGAUAGUUGGUGGGGUAAUGGCCUACCAAGUCUACGAUCUUUAGCUGGUUUUAGAGGAUGAUCAGCAACACUGGGACUGAGACACGGCCCAGACUCCUACGGGAGGCAGCAGUGGGGAAUCUUAGACAAUGGGCGCAAGCCUGAUCUAGCCAUGCCGCGUGAGUGAAGAAGGCCUUAGGGUCGUAAAACUCUUUCGCCAGAGAUGAUAAUGACAGUAUCUGGUAAAGAAACCCCGGCUAACUCCGUGCCAGCAGCCGCGGUAAUACGGAGGGGGUUAGCGUUGUUCGGAAUUACUGGGCGUAAAGCGCACGUAGGCGGACUGGAAAGUUGGGGGUGAAAUCCCGGGGCUCAACCUCGGAACUGCCUCCAAAACUAUCAGUCUAGAGUUCGAGAGAGGUGAGUGGAAUUCCAAGUGUAGAGGUGAAAUUCGUAGAUAUUUGGAGGAACACCAGUGGCGAAGGCGGCUCACUGGCUCGAUACUGACGCUGAGGUGCGAAAGUGUGGGGAGCAAACAGGAUUAGAUACCCUGGUAGUCCACACCGUAAACGAUGAAUGCCAGUCGUCGGCAAGUAUACUCGUCGGUGACACACCUAACGGAUUAAGCAUUCCGCCUGGGGAGUACGGUCGCAAGAUUAAAACUCAAAGGAAUUGACGGGGGCCCGCACAAGCGGUGGAGCAUGUGGUUUAAUUCGAAGC